AAGGAAAUGACCAAUUAUUAGGCUCAGAAUAGUGUAUCAUCAUAGCCAAUAUCUCAACAAUUUUUAUGUAGGAAAGUUUCGGUUAAGGGAUUCUAAAAGUAUGCCCUCUAAUUUUAAUAAAAAUUAAUGGGAGAAAAAAUAGUAAGUUUGAAGUACAUGCAUUGCUGGCACCAGUUGCUAAAAAAGACCAAAUUUUAGUCAUUGGUCUCUUAGGUACCUCUGUGGGUGCACAGAUAGAUGCUUUCCUCUAACAAAUUCCAAG
Molecule: long non-coding RNA, 262 nt
Filed under: Nicotiana benthamiana
Lineage: Eukaryota; Viridiplantae; Streptophyta; Magnoliopsida; Solanales; Solanaceae
Description: long non-coding RNA (NBEN_LNC002619)
Source: RNAcentral